AUGCCUGUACCAUAACCGACACAGGUGGGUAGGUAGAGUAUACUAAGGGGCGCGAGAUAACUCUCUCUAAGGAACUCGGCAAAAUGACUCCGUAACUUCGGGAGAAGGAGUGCCUUAUUUCUAAGGUUGCAAUAACAAGAUCCAAGCAACUGUUUAUCAAAAACACAGGUCUCCGCUAAGUCGUAAGACGAUGUAUGGGGGCUGACGCCUGCCCAGUGCCAGAAGGUUAAAGAAGUUGGUUAGCAUUUUGCGAAGCUGAUAACUGAAGCCCUGGUGAACGGCGGCCGUAACAAUAACGGUCCUAAGGUAGCGAAAUUCCUUGUCGGGUAAGUUCCGACCCGCACGAAAGGCGUAAUGAUUUGGAUACUGUCUCGGAGAGGGACUCGGUGAAAUAGACUUGUCUGUGAAGAUGCGGACUACCUGCACCUGGACAGAAAGACCCUAUGAAGCUUUACUGUAACUUGAAAUUGAAAUUGGACUUUAUUUGCGCAGUAUAGGUGGGAGGCGUUGAGAAUAUUCUUGCGGGAGUAUUGGAGCCAUCAGUGAGAUACCACUCUUGUAAUGUUAGAUUUCUAACUUUGUAUCAUUAUCUGGUCAAAGAACAGUUUCAGGCGGGCAGUUUGACUGGGGCGGUCGCCUCCCAAAUGGUAACGGAGGCGCACAAAGGUUUCCUCUGAACGGGUAGAAAUCGUAUCUAGAGUGUAAAGGCAUAAGGAAGCUUGACUGUGAGACCUACAAGUCGAGCAGGGACGAAAGUCGGUCUUAGUGAUCUGACGGUGCUGAGUGGAAAGGCCGUCACUCAACGGAUAAAAGUUACUCUAGGAUAACAGGCUGAUCUCCCCCAAGAGUUCACAUCGACGGGGAGGUUUGGCACCUCGAUGUCGGCUCAUCGCAUCCUGGGGCGGUAGUACGUCCCAAGGGUUGGGCUGUUCGCCCAUGAAAGCGGUACGCGAGCUGGGUUCAGAACGUCGUGAGACAGUUCGGUCCAUAUCCGGUGUAGGCGUUAGAAUAUUGAGAGGAGCCUUCUUUAGUACGAGAGGACCGAGAAGGACGUACCUCUGGUGUACCAGUUAUCGUGCCAACGGUAAACGCUGGGUAGCUAUGUAUGGAGAGGAUAACCGCUGAAAGCAUCUAAGUGGGAAGCCCACCUCAAGAUAAGUAUUCUCAUCACGUAAGUGAAUAGGUCACGGUAAGACUAACCGUUUGAUAGGCAUUAAGUGUAAAUCUAGUAAUAGGUGAGCUGAGAUGUACUAACAGACCGAAGACUUGA
RNAcentral lists this ribosomal RNA (1270 nucleotides) under metagenome. RNAcentral's name for it is "bacterial LSU rRNA". It matches the Rfam family "Bacterial large subunit ribosomal RNA", at positions 1638 to 2925 of the family's 2925-position model. The record is from RNAcentral.